Molecule: small nuclear RNA, 107 nt
Organism: Ochotona curzoniae (black-lipped pika)
Lineage: Eukaryota; Metazoa; Chordata; Mammalia; Lagomorpha; Ochotonidae
Source: RefSeq, a predicted model, not a curated record
GUGCUCACUUCGGCAGCACAUAUACUAAAAUUGGAUUGAUACAGAGAAGAUUAGCAUGGGCCCUGCGCAAGGAUGUUUCAGCACUGUUCUGGAACUCCCAAAUCUCA